This is a long non-coding RNA of Columba livia (rock pigeon), 4917 nucleotides long. RefSeq lists it as uncharacterized. Lineage: Eukaryota; Metazoa; Chordata; Aves; Columbiformes; Columbidae. The record is from RefSeq and is a predicted model, not a curated record. The transcript is spliced from 4 exons.
GGCUUAUUCAGGCAGACUCAUUUCAGCUGUUCUUGGUUGGGAAAUCCCCUGCCAAACCAGGUUGUCUUUUCUCUUCUAAAGGAGAACUGCUUCUCCUUCCAGCUGUGUUUGCCCAACAAUGCAUGGAGAACAGAAAAAGGUGCGUGCAUAAGGGUGAUAUUGCUGCUAAAAUUUUGCAGUGCUGGAAUGAAGAUGUUGAAAGUCCAUGGUCAUCUCCAAAAGACAAAUUGCUGCCUCUAAAGACAAGUGUCUCAGAUGUCAAGGAUCAUCUUUGAAAGUUCCUAUCUCUUUCCAGAGGCUGCCAAAGCAAUGUUGGUGAUUCAUUUGAAAACACACUCUACAGGGAGGCAUUGAUCUUGCCCAUCGUGUUCUGCCUGGGACCACUACAAACAGAAGAGGACAAAUACUCAAGUCAGUAUUUUUAGAGUGGCUAAUAAGUCAAAUCCAAAAGAUAGUUGAUGUCACAUCUGUCCUCAAGGAUUGCACAUACCAGUGGUGCAGAGGUUUUGCUGGGGGUUCAGAGUAACCUCAUGAAUUGCCUUCUGUGUGGGCACCUAGAAAUUCAUACUACUUAAAAAAAUUAUUUAUUGCUUUGGAAAUGGCAGGUAGCAACAACCGCAGAUUUUGAAAAAUGUCUGAUGCAGCUAAGCAUUGAAUUCUGGAUUAGAGUUAUGUCCCUAAAAUGCUGUGUUUGUUAUGUUAUUCUGUUCUAUGAACUUAAAAAGAUUAUCAGAGCUAUUAAAUGAGGCAACUAAACAGUUUUGGAUUGUGUUUUGUUGAUUGGAUUAAAGAUUUUACUUGUUUUUCUGCUUGAGAAAAUAUGAUAUUUUAUGUAGCAUCUGCUUUGAAUUAAACAUAUCUUUCAGCCCCCUUUCACAAUUUCUACAUACACAUUUUCUUUUAUAACAAACAAACACAGGGUUCUGAAGCUCUGAAAGCCCACAGCUGUUUGUGUUACAUGGAGAAAGUGAGCCUGUUCUUGCUCCUACGGAAAAAAAAAAAACAAAACACUAAAAUAAAAAAAUGAGAUCGGUUCAAUAUGUUGAUAAAGGCAAAAAUGGUAAGGUAUUGUGGUUGUUACAGAGACAGCUUGUUAAACAUAUCAAAGCAUACCACAGAUGACAGCUGAAUGAAGCCGGAUGGUUAGGAAUUGAUUGUGGUUGAAAACAUGCCUUCUUUACUUGAAAUUUCACUACAUCAGUACAUACCCCACCCAAAUAUUUGUUUUCUAAACUUCGCUGAAGCGAUGCAUAGGGACAAAAGCUAAAGAACUUCAUAUGUUCAGAAAUUGUGCAGAGCAGUUAAGCAAGAUGUCAUUCAGAUUCAGCUGCUGUGACAAGGAAGAGAACAAAAUGUGAACUGCGUGCAAAAUAUUCCCCUUCUGUGAACAGCAUCAGAAAUUUUUUUUGGCUUGCGGGCUGAACAAGUGACACAGUUAACUGACUGACACUUCAUUUCCAGCUAAUUUUUGGCAUCUGACUCAAAGCAGUCUCUGUACAGCUGCACUGACAGACAUAAGCUCUACUAUGGGAUAAGUUGCCAUUAGAUCAGUGCUUUGGAGAAUCCUAUAAAAACCUUGCCUCCCAAAGUAGAGGAGAGAUUAAGCUCGCUUUUUUUUUUGCCUUUUUUUUUUUUUUAAAGCCCCAAGGGCUCAUUUAUGAUCUCAUUAAGAUCAACAGGAAUUUUAAUUUAAAUUCAACAACAUGAAUAUUUAGUUCUCAGACAUCAAUUCAUACAGUCUUGAGGCUCUUCAUGGGUUGUACUGGGAAGCUGCAUUUGGGAAACCAAGCACUCCUUUGCUUUUAAUCAGUCUCUGAACACUUCAAACAUAAUGAGGUAAAGUUUUGAGAUUCAUGUGGAUGACUGAAGCAGUGGCUGGGAUGUAAGGAGAGGUAGCAUCACCCAUCUGUCUCUUCUUCAGGGACCCCAUUUUGAUUUAGCAGUUUCAGGCAGAGUCAUUAGUGUGCGUCAGCCCAUGACUGCCCAACAACACUGUACAGAUCGCAGAAACCUCCAUACAGAGUUCCCUGUAGCCUUAAAGCCUUAAAGCAUUGUCUGAAAUCACCAAAUAAUAACAUUGACUUAAAGACAGUUCUGGAGAUGUGUGCCAGAACUCAGUGCAAAACAAUCUUGUCUGAGCUCAGUGGCCCCAUACGAAGAGUAGUAAAGGUUUAUAUAAUUACAUCAUUGUCAGAGCGAAAUAAGGACUCAGCAAAACAAGUCAAUUCAAUGUGAAUCACUCUAAAGCCAUUUAUUACAGAAACCAGCCUCCUUAUAUAUGCAACUAUAUUCUAAUCACACAUCCACGCUCCAAGCAUGGAUUCGCUAAAUGAGUAUCAUGGGCUGUCCAUGCGCUGGAGUCUCACUGAUGAUACGUCUGAUGAUUCACGCCACGCCAGGAUCCCGGUGAUUGUGGAACACCCCACUUUCUCACAGCAGAUUCUGUUCUCAGCUUCUCGAAGCAGCCUUGAGGUUCCUUUGAGCCUGACUAAUUCAGCAACAAACCUUUAUCUAUCAAAACCCCUCCACACAUCAUCUUUAAAAGCCACUCCCUUAUAAAAACAGGUUGUGGACUGUUUGGUAAAUCACCUUACAUCUUCGAUUUUGUGUUCCUGUCAAUCACAGCAAUUAUUGUCACUCCAGAUGUAAAUUAAGAAAACAAAUUUAUUUAUGUAGUGCUUAAGUGGGCAAGGAAGAGAGACAUUUCCAGGUGUAUGGACAAAGUUAGGGCUCAGAACAUUUCAGAGGGAUAUCCAGUAACUGGAAUAGCCACUUAUAUCACAGCAUCACAACAACAUUUAAAGAAAUGUUCACCAACUGAUAUGAUGCCAAAGUGAAUUGCAGUUUCUAUCUAUAUCUAAAAGUUCCCUUGCACUCUGAUGUUUAGCAAGAUACCUUGUUUUCCAUAAAUCCUAGUAAGAUGAGCACCGACAGUCUCUAACUCCUGAAAUGCACUGAAAAACUAACAUGUAAAAUUGUUAGCUGCUGCCAAUGUAAUGGCAGUCAUUAAUUAUGGCUCCUAUGGUACCUGCAUUCAUGUCUUUUUGAGUUAAGUUUAUCAUUAUAUGCAAAGUGAAGGCAGGAGAUAAUUGAAAAACCACAAAAGAUGUAGUGUUUGCAAAACUUUUGUAAACAUGAAAUUAAGCAAGGUGUACUCCUGAGGUAAUGAAAAAGGUAUCUGAGUCAAUUUCUUUCCUGUGCAUUUAAAAUUAAAAUAAAAAAAACUCUCAAGCAGUGUCAGACUGAACUCUCUUCUGACAUGUUCUUGCAGAUAUGACCAAAAGAACACCUUAAGAAAUAUGGCAAGCACAUAUGAGAUAUAUUUAGCUAUAUCAACUGAUCGACCCUUUAGUUCCAGAAUCAAGACAGAUUCUGGGACAACAAGAGCAAUGUCGUUUCUCCAGAUUUCUCACUAACGAUAAUUGCCUGUAUGUUCUAUGCCAACAUGUAGGACCAAGGAUAUCUAAUUUUUGCUUUUGGGAAGUAGCUUGGACAUUCUUUUUCCUGAGUAAUUACUGGACCACAAGGACCUGAUGGAGGAAGUUGUAUGCUUCAUGGGGAAAAUGUCCAGAUUGUAUGGCAGUAUGAAGAGAUUGCCUAAAUUGCCUAGAUUGCCUAAAGAAGGCAGCUCAUUUUUCUCUUGGAUAGUAUAUGACACAUGUAGUUUAAGGUCUUAAAAACAGAAAAAGUUCUGCUACAACUGUAAUAAAAUAAUAAUAUGUGAUAAAUUUUACUGACUAUUGGAAUCUAUUAUCUUUUUAUGUCAUAUGCUUUUAAAUGCUGUUGUUGUCCUGUUCGAUUGUGAAAGACAGAGAUCUCGUCUUAGAUGAAAAAUGGAAGCAAUUGUUUGUUCCCUGGGCACUUAAUCACUUUUGUAGCUUUUAAACACAAAUCUCAAAAAAAAAAAAAAAAAAAAUCAUACAAAGGAAUAACUGUGUUUGUUUAUCAGAACUUUUUUUGGUCUCCUCACCUCCAAGAACACAGUGAUAAUAACUUUUGUAUUUGAAUAGGGAGCACUCUUCGUGUUCAAAUAACAGGUAGUUAGGCGAUACCUGGAGGCAUUAUAUCUGAAUAACAUGAAGAAUAUUAAUAACUAUGUUAUUUUUCUGUGUUUUGUACUUAAUAGGUAGUUACAAUUAAAAACUUCACAGCAUGAAGUUGUCCCCAGGCAAUUAGAUCAGUAACUUCUCCAACAAAACCAACUUUUCAAUGAUAGUUGCAGCUGAGCUGAAUACUUUGCAGAAGUCAGAUCUCUUUCAGUUUUCUUAAUAGUCAAAUGAAAAGAAAAAUUGAAGUCAAAUUGAAAUUAAAAACUUUAUCUUUAUAAACUUUAUAUAAACUUUAAUUUUUAUCAGAUUCAUGGGAGGAAAUAGCUGCUUAUCGCCCAGCUAAAAUUAAACUAUACAUAUGUAGCAAUGAAAUUACACUUUAAGCUCUACAAAAAUAAUCACAUAUUCAAAUGGUAACGUCAUGGUCUCUCCUGUGAUACAUUCAAUGGAAAUAUUGGCCCCUGACAAAGAAGUCCCCUCUGUCUCUCAUGGAAAAACUCCCAAAUGCACAGCUGUUUUCUGCAAAUCAAAUGCAAAUCACACAACUGUUAUUUGUAUAUUGCUUUUGAUUCUGUUUUUUUUUCUUCCAGCUGCUGACAGCUUAAUAACACUUGAAAAUAGCCAAACACUUCAUAAUUCCUGGAGAAGAAUGGGAUGUAUUGCUUAGACCUUUUCUGAAAGACCUUCUGGAAACCUCUGACUAAAAAGAUGGGCUUCAUUAUUUGAUAGCUUUCUUUGUUCUUUCUAAAAGAAAGUUAUUUCUGGACAGCUUUACCUUCUUCCCUGUCAGGCUCCUUGCCUAUUCUAAUUAACCUGGAUCAUCAGUAAAGUACAAAGGACAGGUGACAGGACUAUGGCCAUUGCACAU